This 433-nucleotide ribosomal RNA is filed under the name uncultured bacterium. RNAcentral's name for it is "partial 16S ribosomal RNA". It matches the Rfam family "Bacterial small subunit ribosomal RNA", at positions 29 to 507 of the family's 1533-position model. The record is from RNAcentral.
AACGAACGCUGGCGGCAUGCCUAACACAUGCAAGUCGAACGAGACCUUCGGGUCUAGUGGCGCACGGGUGCGUAACGCGUGGGAACCUGCCCUUAGGUUCGGAAUAACUCCCCGAAAGGGGUGCUAAUACCGGAUAAUGUCUUCGGACCAAAGAUUUAUCGCCUUUGGAUGGGCCCGCGUUGGAUUAGCUAGUUGGUAGGGUAAAAGCCUACCAAGGCGACGAUCCAUAGCUGGUCUGAGAGGAUGAUCAGCCACACUGGGAGUGAGACACGGCCCAGACUCGUACGGGAGGCAGCAGUAGGGAAUAUUGGACAAUGGGCGAAAGCCUGAUCCAGCAAUGCCGCGUGAGUGAUGAAGGCCUUAGGGUUGUAAAGCUCUUUUACCCGGGAUGAUAAUGACAGUACCGGGAGAAUAAGCUCCGGCUAACUCCGUG